Molecule: ribosomal RNA, 324 nt
Filed under: uncultured eukaryote
Lineage: Eukaryota
Description: partial 18S ribosomal RNA
Rfam family: Eukaryotic small subunit ribosomal RNA
Source: RNAcentral
CCCUUAGAUGUUCUGGGCUGCACGCGCGCUACACUGAUGCGAUCAACAAGUUUUUCCUAUGUCGAUAGACACGGGUAAUCUUUUGAACUCGCAUCGUGAUGGGGAUAGAUUAUUGUAAUUAUUAAUCUUCAACGAGGAAUUCCUAGUAGGUGCAAAUCAUCAGUUUGCAUCGAUUACGUCCCUGCCCUUUGUACACACCGCCCGUCGCUGCUACCGAUUGGUUGAUCUGGUGAAUUAUUCGGACUGCCGGCUGAAGGGAUUUCCUCAUCUGCCAGCGGAAAGUCUUGUUAACCCUAUCAACUAGAGGAAGCAGAAGUCGUAACA